This is an RNA transcript of Panicum virgatum (switchgrass), 1117 nucleotides long. It is a transcript of the gene named translation initiation factor IF-2-like, with no coding region annotated. Lineage: Eukaryota; Viridiplantae; Streptophyta; Magnoliopsida; Poales; Poaceae. The transcript has 3 exons. The record is from RefSeq and is a predicted model, not a curated record.
UGAUAAUCGGGCCGUUCGAUCGCACUGACGGGGCUUGACGAGGAAAGACUGGGUGGGUCUGACGCCCGAACCGCACCCUCCCGCGGACGCCACGCCACCACGGCUAUGGAGUCCGACACCGAGCGAGACCUUCCCCUUCUCUCCCCCGCCCCAAACCCUAGCAGCCACCACCAGCAAUCCCUCCGGCCAGCCAAGUCCACGGCGUUCAAGCGCGAGGAGCGCCGCAAGCGCAAGGAGCGCAAGCGGCAGGAGCGUCUCGCCGACGAGCUCGCGCGGUGGGAACCUCUUGGCGCCCCGCCGCCCCGUCCGGCCGCCACCGGAUCCACCAGCCCGCAGCCCGACAUACCGUGGCCGUGCGACCCGCCGCCACCUCCGGACCCGGCGGAAGCCGACUCCUGGAGCUGGGGCCCGCCCGCCGUACCCGCGCCCCAGCCCGCGGUCGAAGUGGCGGCGGCGGUCCCGUUGCACCCGCAGGCCGCCGCCGUGAGGUCCUGCCGCGCGUUCUUCGAAGCGCAGAUCGACGACGAGGAGGAGGAUGGGGACGAAGGCAAUGCGGCUCGGUUCUUCGGCGAACUGUUGGGCGGCGACGCGACGCUGAGGGGAUUCUACGAGACGGAGCGGGAGAAGGGGCAGUUCCUGUGCCUGGUGUGCGAGGGCGAGGGGACAGGCGCCAGGGCGGGCAAGAGGUUCGCGGGCUGCGCCGCGCUCGUGCAGCACGCCGGGUCCAUCGCCCGGACCAAGAGGAGGCUGGCGCACCGCGCGUUCGCCGACGCCGUCGGCCGGCUGCUCGGAUGGAGCGCAAGCCAGACCGCGCCUCAGCCGGCAAGCUCCGACAGCGAUGGCGCUUGUGAUCAAGUCGACAACUCUCAAAGCGUAGAAAUGGAGGUGUCCUGAUCGUAGAGCUUGACCCCCUUGGUAAAGGGAAACAGUCAAGCAUCUCGACCUCAGUGAUCAUCACAUUGUUGAAUAUCUCGAGUUCUCCACUUGUGAUCAUGGAUUGCUAGUUUCCUCCUAAUGGUAUUGACCUUUUGAAUUGUCAGGAGUUCAGUGCCCAUUUUGUUUCAUGUUUUAAAUUCUAAGUGACAUGAGAUUGCCUGAAAAAUAUAAUUUGUGAGCU